RNAcentral lists this ribosomal RNA (460 nucleotides) under uncultured bacterium. Its description in RNAcentral is "partial 16S ribosomal RNA". It matches the Rfam family "Bacterial small subunit ribosomal RNA", at positions 338 to 795 of the family's 1533-position model. The record is from RNAcentral.
CCUACGGGUGGCAGCAGUGAGGAAUAUUGGUCAAUGGACGCAAGUCUGAACCAGCCAUGCCGCGUGCAGGAUGACGGCUCUAUGAGUUGUAAACUGCUUUUGUACGAGGGUAAACCCCGAUACGUGUAUCGGGUUGAAAGUAUCGUACGAAUAAGGAUCGGCUAACUCCGUGCCAGCAGCCGCGGUAAUACGGAGGAUCCGAGCGUUAUCCGGAUUUAUUGGGUUUAAAGGGUGCGUAGGCGGGUUGAUAAGUUAGAGGUGAAAUGUCGGGGCUCAACCCCGAAACUGCCUCUAAUACUGUUGGACUAGAGAAUAGUUGCGGUAGGCGGAAUGUAUGGUGUAGCGGUGAAAUGCUUAGAGAUCAUACAGAACACCGAUUGCGAAGGCAGCCUGCUGGACUGUAACUGACGCUGAUGCGCGAAAGUGUGGGUAUCAAACAGGAUUAGAUACCCGAGUAGUC